UGAGGAAUAUUGGGCAAUGCCCGCAAGGGUGACCCAGCAACGCCGCGUGGAGGACGAAUGUCGUAAGAUUGUAAACUCCUGUUAGAGGGGAAGAAUAGUACCGGUUGGACCGGUAUAUGACUGUACCCUCAGAGAAAGCCCCGGCUAACUACGUGCCAGCAGCCGCGGUAAUACGUAGGGGGCAAGCGUUGUCCGGAUUUACUGGGUGUAAAGGGCGCGCAGGCGGGAUAAAAAGUCAGUGGUGAAAUCCUACAGCUUAACUGUAGAACUGCCUUUGAUACUGCAAGCCUAGAGUAUGGAAGAGAGUGAUGGAAUAUCUGGUGUAGCAGUGAAAUGCGUAGAUAUCAGAUAGAACACCAAUGGCGAAGGCAGUCACUUGAUCCAUUACUGACGCUAAAGCACGAAAGCGUGGGUAGCAAACA
Molecule: ribosomal RNA, 422 nt
Filed under: uncultured bacterium
Lineage: Bacteria
Description: bacterial SSU rRNA
Rfam family: Bacterial small subunit ribosomal RNA
Source: RNAcentral